CCUGCUGUGCGACCAGCAGUAGCCUAGGAAGACGUGCGUCACUGGUAACGGUGGGGUUCGAAGCUCUUCCGACAAAGUAGCCCCCGGAUGUAUCGGGCGUGCAGAUGCCGCGAGGUAGAUGCAUGGAUGUCCCCAGCAGCAGGGGACGAGGAGC
Molecule: non-coding RNA, 154 nt
Filed under: Paraburkholderia hospita
Lineage: Bacteria; Pseudomonadati; Pseudomonadota; Betaproteobacteria; Burkholderiales; Burkholderiaceae
Source: RNAcentral